Sinocyclocheilus rhinocerous is the source of this 389-nucleotide long non-coding RNA. RefSeq lists it as uncharacterized. Lineage: Eukaryota; Metazoa; Chordata; Actinopteri; Cypriniformes; Cyprinidae. The transcript has 3 exons. The record is from RefSeq and is a predicted model, not a curated record.
AUCUGAAAAUACAUGAGAUGAUCCACACUGGAGAGAAGCGAUAUCACUGCCUUUCAUGUGGGAAGAGGUUCACUCAUUUAUCUGAUUUAAUCGUUCACAGGAAAAGUGUAUGACUGAAGUCACAGUAAGUAGUUCAUGUUCAGAUCCUGUACUUUCAGGCGUGAUGCCGCGUCUUCACUGAACAAGACCCAAUAACAUUAAAUGAGAGCAAGUAAACAUCAUCCAAAGAUGUCAUGGUGAAUUUGACAGAAGAGCGGGCUUCUAGCAGCAAUGGCCAGCAACAGCUCGUUUACUGGGUAAGAUAGCUAAUUUAACAUCUUAAACUCAGUGACAGGUGAACUUAAUCUCUCUUCUCAUGCUCUCCCAUCUAAAUACGUAACGUUAGCUAA